This 737-nucleotide long non-coding RNA is filed under the name Salmo salar (Atlantic salmon). Its description in RNAcentral is "lncRNA (ENSSSAG00000093546.1)". Lineage: Eukaryota; Metazoa; Chordata; Actinopteri; Salmoniformes; Salmonidae. The record is from RNAcentral.
GUGUGCCUCGUUGUAUCAGUAUUACAAUAUAGGCUUACUGUUAUGAUAAGGGAGUAGUAAAGUGUUAGCACACAGGCAGGCAACAUACAAUUCCACACUCCAUCCCCCAGGUGACAGCACCAACUGGGUCAAGGGAUGGGCUUUGCCAGAAAGCCUUGAUAAGCACAUCAGGUGCAUCCAAUUAAGGUGAUUGUUAGACCAGAAGCCUUUUAGGCAGCUUUUUGUUUCUUUCCUUGUGUUAACCUCUUUAGUUGGGCAUCCUUUUUUAGUUUGGCAUUUAUUUAGUCACCAUUUGAACAAAUAAUAAUCCGCUUGGACUGACUGACCAAGCGGUCAAGAUGGAACUGGCCCUGGACAUAAGCUGGCUGACGGCAGUUGUUUCAGGCCGAGGUGUAUUCUGGAUGGCAGGCAGGGGAAGACGGGAUGCCCUGUCGCCACGUCACCAGCUGCCUGGGUCAGGCCUGGAGAGAGAGGGAGUGUAGUCCUGGCCAGGCUUACAGUACCUGGUUCUGGCAAAGAAGCUGAGUAGGAGUAAAGACUAUCGCACCAGAGAGCACUUCCCCCAUCAACACUACAAUAACUCACCACUGCUGCCUGAUACACCCCAGCCUUGGCCAGGCCAGAGCCACUAUAACCUCCUGGGACACAUUGUAAUAGAGACAUGGAGUAUAAAUGCUGAUGAUAGUAAGCAGUUUGAUAAUGCCCUUUUAAUGUGUUUGUUUAAUGCCCUUUUAAUG